Molecule: long non-coding RNA, 389 nt
Filed under: Ananas comosus (pineapple)
Lineage: Eukaryota; Viridiplantae; Streptophyta; Magnoliopsida; Poales; Bromeliaceae
Description: long non-coding RNA (ACOM_LNC040633)
Source: RNAcentral
UUUAACCCUAUAUGAGAUGAUUAGAACUUGUAAUGUUAAAGAGCUAACAUUGUUGAUGAGUCUAAAUGACGAGUGGCAUCUAGUUAGAAAACUAUGAUUGAGUGGCACAUGUUUGAUGUUUACUUGAGAUGAUCAUAUUAGUGUAGUUGAGACACUAUGACAUUGGGUACAAGAACUGUUGAUCUAUGCUAAGAUUACCCUCAAAGGGUUGUUGUUGCUCGUGAGUUGAUCAUGCUCACAUUGCCUGUCUGCGCUUGGUGAGGUCGCUCCCCUCAAGUUGUGCGCUCCGGAGUUGGUCACUAGAGAGGCAGCCCGCUUGCCGCUCGGAUAGCCGCUUGUUAUCCGCAGGCGUACUCGGGGAUAGUCCAGCUAGGCAUCCCUCGGAGGUU